GGGGAGAUCGCAUAGAGGCCUAGUGCACCCGCCUGCUAAGUGGGAGGGGUUUUGCCCCACGCGGGUUCGAAUCCCGCUCUCCCCGCCA
Molecule: transfer RNA, 88 nt
Filed under: Chloroflexota bacterium
Lineage: Bacteria; Bacillati; Chloroflexota
Also listed under: 2 other names
Description: tRNA-Ser
Rfam family: tRNA
About the family: Transfer RNA (tRNA) molecules are approximately 80 nucleotides in length. Their secondary structure includes four short double-helical elements and three loops (D, anti-codon, and T loops).
Source: RNAcentral